GUUCUGCUCCAGUCAACAUGCUGAGGUGGUUCUUCUCCAUGUCUGUGGUUCUGGACCUUCUAUCAGGAGUCUGUGUUGGACGACUGACUCCAGUCAUGGUCCAAGAGUCAUAUGAAGAAGGCAGAGCUGUCACUCUGUCCUGCACCAUCUCUCCACGUGCUACAUCCGUGGACCUGCUCUCCUGGUACCGACAGUACCGUGGAGGAUCACUGGAUCUCCUGACAGCUUACUUUCAGGAUGGUGGAAGAGUUAAAGCUCCAGUCUCUGGCCUGACUGCUGGUGCGAAGGCUGAUGGAAGCCAGAUGGAGCUGAAGAUCGAGUCUGCUGCAGCGACGGACUCUGCUGUCUACUUCUGUGCUCUACAGCCCACAGUGGCAGCUGGGGACGACUGCUUCCUCUGCAGCACCAGGUCUGGACUGGAGCAAGUGACUCUCAUCUGCAACGUCUCUGGACUCUCACCUGCUGGUGUUCUGGUGUCUGUGUUGGACAACUGA
Synchiropus splendidus (mandarinfish) is the source of this 494-nucleotide non-coding RNA. NCBI's taxonomy places the organism in Eukaryota, Metazoa, Chordata, Actinopteri, Syngnathiformes, Callionymidae. The record is from the annotation of a RefSeq genome assembly.